GGUGAAGCCCGAUUUCUCAGGUCCCUUCAGCUCUGACAGUUGAUGUGUAUGUGGUGCUCGAGGUCUGACUAGCAGGACUUGGAGCUUGGCGAAUGGUGGAAGAGCUCUUUGGUGCCCAGGAGGCCACUGAGGCUGUUAGAUAGGAUUGAGAAAUGACCUAAUGAGAGAAACUCUGUUCCUCCUCUGUGUGACUGUAGUAUCUUUUAUGAUCAUUUUGGAUGACUGAAUUUUCCCAAAGUAUUUGACAGAAGAAAUAAGAGUAUUUCAGAUCCUGCACACAACAGUAUAUACAGAAAGCCUACAAGCAGAAUGGUGGAGUCAUGAAGGAAAAGCCCGAAGAGAACUGUCAAACAUUACUGUGGCAGAGGCCACUUGAGGAGUUGUUGAAGGCUUUGAACGAUCCAGCACACCAGACACAGAGGAGAGCCUUGAACGAUUAGAAAUAAAGAUGGGAUCUGGUUCA
Molecule: long non-coding RNA, 463 nt
Filed under: Monodelphis domestica (gray short-tailed opossum)
Lineage: Eukaryota; Metazoa; Chordata; Mammalia; Didelphimorphia; Didelphidae
Description: lncRNA (ENSMODG00000042855.1)
Source: RNAcentral